AGGGUUCGAUCAUGGCUCAGGAUGAACGCUAGCGGCAGGCCUAACACAUGCAAGUCGAGGGGUAACAGGGGGUGCUUGCACUCCGCUGACGACCGGCGCACGGGUGCGUAACGCGUAUACAAUCUGCCUUAUACUGGGGUAUAGCCUUUAGAAAUGAAGAUUAAUCCCCCAUAGUCUCUAGAUGUGGCAUCACACUUAGAGUAAAGGUUACGGUAUAAGAUGAGUAUGCGUUCUAUUAGUUUGUUGGUGAGGUAACGGCUCACCAAGACUACGAUAGAUAGGGGCCCUGAGAGGGGGAUCCCCCACACUGGUACUGAGACACGGACCAGACUCCUACGGGAGGCAGCAGUGAGGAAUAUUGGACAAUGGAGGCAACUCUGAUCCAGCCAUGCCGCGUGCAGGAAGACUGCCCUAUGGGUUGUAAACUGCUUUUAUAUAGGAAGAAACCUUGGUACGUGUACCAAGCUGACGGUACUAUAAGAAUAAGGAUCGGCUAACUCCGUGCCAGCCGCCGCGGUAAUAC
Molecule: ribosomal RNA, 523 nt
Filed under: uncultured bacterium
Lineage: Bacteria
Description: bacterial SSU rRNA
Rfam family: Bacterial small subunit ribosomal RNA
Source: RNAcentral